Molecule: unclassified non-coding RNA, 240 nt
Filed under: soil metagenome
Description: partial contains 5.8S ribosomal RNA, internal transcribed spacer 2, and large subunit ribosomal RNA
Source: RNAcentral
AACGCACGAGACCUGCGGACCUGCGGAAGGAUCAUUAAAAUAUUACUAGUUAGCUUUGGAGAUUCCUCCAGAGUUAAUUAUGUAUUUCAAUCACUUGUUUACUUAUACCUGUUGCUUCCGUGAAAAUUAGGGUGCCUGCACUAUUCGUAGUUGUAGGUUACCUUUCACGGGUGUUUUUUAAAAAAAUUUGUUUUGAAUGACUUGUCUGAUUAUUAGUUUUAAAUAAAGUUAAAACUUUCA